RNAcentral lists this ribosomal RNA (253 nucleotides) under uncultured bacterium. RNAcentral's name for it is "partial 16S ribosomal RNA". It matches the Rfam family "Bacterial small subunit ribosomal RNA", at positions 524 to 776 of the family's 1533-position model. The record is from RNAcentral.
UACGUAGGUGGCAAGCGUUAUCCGGAUUUAUUGGGUGUAAAGGGCGUGUAGGCGGGAGCGCAAGUCAGAUGUGAAAACUCAGGGCUCAACCCUGAGCCUGCAUUUGAAACUGUGUUUCUUGAGUGCUGGAGAGGCAAUCGGAAUUCCGUAUGUAGCGGUGAAAUGCGUAGAUAUACGGAGGAACACCAGUGGCGAAGGCGGAUUGCUGGACAGUAACUGACGCUGAGGCGCGAAAGCGUGGGGAGCAAACAGG